GCAAACUUGGUCAUUUAGAGGAAGUAAAAGUCGUAACAAGGUUUCCGUAGGUGAACCUGCGGAAGGAUCAUUAACAAAAAAUGAUGAGUGAUGGUGUUCUCACCUGAACUCUCCUUCUACCUUUGUAACCGCGUGAAUUUAAACACAAUAAAAUUUGUUAGUGUAUUGCUUAAUAGUUUGACUAUUAUAAUAAUUGCGCACUAACAGUUAGUGGUCAAGUCAGUGAUAUAAGUUGGAGACGACUGACAUUGACAUUGAUCGCAUUAAAAAACUUUUAUAACCUUUUAAUAUGAAAUUAAUUUGGCUGAAUAUUAGUUUAAAAACUAUAAAUUAUAUACACUUUUAACAAUGGAUCUCUUGGCUCUUGCAUCGAUGAAGAACGCAGC
Molecule: unclassified non-coding RNA, 386 nt
Filed under: uncultured fungus
Lineage: Eukaryota; Fungi
Description: partial contains small subunit ribosomal RNA, internal transcribed spacer 1, and 5.8S ribosomal RNA
Rfam family: Eukaryotic small subunit ribosomal RNA (bases 1-73)
Source: RNAcentral